UCCGAUUUGUCACCGGCAUAUGUCAAACCCAGGUAAGGUUCUUCGCGUUGCAUCGAAUUAAUCCGCAUGCUCCGCCGCUUGUGCGGGCCCCCGUCAAUUCCUUUGAGUUUUAGCCUUGCGGCCGUACUCCCCAGGCGGGGCGCUUAAUGCGUUAGCUGCGGCACGGAACUCGUGGAAUGAGCCCCACACCUAGCGCCCAACGUUUACGGUGUGGACUAC
RNAcentral lists this unclassified non-coding RNA (219 nucleotides) under uncultured Nocardioidaceae bacterium. Its description in RNAcentral is "contains 16S-23S intergenic spacer region". Lineage: Bacteria; Bacillati; Actinomycetota; Actinomycetes; Propionibacteriales; Nocardioidaceae. The record is from RNAcentral.